RNAcentral lists this ribosomal RNA (507 nucleotides) under fungal sp. M30. Its description in RNAcentral is "eukaryotic LSU rRNA". The stretch from base 141 to 294 matches the Rfam family "5.8S ribosomal RNA". The record is from RNAcentral. Lineage: Eukaryota; Fungi.
CUCGGGCCGGGAUGUUCCAACCCUUUGUUGUCCGACUCUGUUGCCUCCGGGGCGACCCUGCCUCCGGGCGGGGGCCCCGGGUGGACAUUUCAAACUCUUGCGUAACUUUGCAGUCUGAGUAAAUUUAAUUAAUAAAUUAAAACUUUCAACAACGGAUCUCUUGGUUCUGGCAUCGAUGAAGAACGCAGCGAAAUGCGAUAAGUAAUGUGAAUUGCAGAAUUCAGUGAAUCAUCGAAUCUUUGAACGCACAUUGCGCCCCCUGGUAUUCCGGGGGGCAUGCCUGUUCGAGCGUCAUUUCACCACUCAAGCCUCGCUUGGUAUUGGGCGACGCGGUCCGCCGCGCGCCUCAAAUCGACCGGCUGGGUCUUUCGUCCCCUCAGCGUUGUGGAAACUAUUCGCUAAAGGGUGCCGCGGGAGGCCACGCCGUAAAACAACCCCAUUUCUAAGGUUGACCUCGGAUCAGGUAGGGAUACCCGCUGAACUUAAGCAUAUCUAUAAGCGGCGGAA